This 492-nucleotide ribosomal RNA is filed under the name uncultured bacterium. RNAcentral's name for it is "partial 16S ribosomal RNA". It matches the Rfam family "Bacterial small subunit ribosomal RNA", at positions 29 to 507 of the family's 1533-position model. The record is from RNAcentral.
AGUGAACGCUGGCGGUAGGCCUAACACAUGCAAGUCGAACGGCAGCACAGUAAGAGCUUGCUCUUACGGGUGGCGAGUGGCGGACGGGUGAGGAAUACAUCGGACUCUACUUUUUCGUGGGGGAUAACGUAGGGAAACUUACGCUAAUACCGCAUACGACCUACGGGUGAAAGCAGGGGAUCUUCGGACCUUGCGCGAUUGAAUGCGCCGAUGUCGGAUUAGCUAGUUGGCGGGGUAAAGGCCCACCAAGGCGACGAUCCGUAGCUGGUCUGAGAGGAUGAUAAGCCACACUGGAACUGAGACACGGUCCAGACUCCUACGGGAGGCAGCAGUGGGGAAUAUUGGACAAUGGGCGCAAGCCUGAUCCAGCCAUACCGCGUGGGUGAAGAAGGCCUUCGGGUUGUAAAGCCCUUUUGUUGGGAAAGAAAAGCAGCAGGUUAAUACCCCGCUGUUCUGACGGUACCCAAAGAAUAAGCACCGGCUAACUUCGUG